This 387-nucleotide ribosomal RNA is filed under the name uncultured bacterium. RNAcentral describes it as "bacterial SSU rRNA". It matches the Rfam family "Bacterial small subunit ribosomal RNA", at positions 355 to 759 of the family's 1533-position model. The record is from RNAcentral.
UAGGGAAUAUUAGUAAUGGGCGAAAGCCUGAACUAGCAACGCCGCGUGUGCGUAGAAGGCCUUCGGGUCGUAAAGCACUUUUUGAGAGGAUGAGGAAGGACGGUACUCUCAGAAUAAGUCUCGGCUAACUACGUGCCAGCAGCCGCGGUAACACGUAGGAGGCAAACGUUAUCCGGAUUUACUGGGCGUAAAGCGCGUGUAGGUGGUUUGGUAAGUAGGGCGUGAAAGCUCCUGGCUCAACUGGGAGAGGACGUUCUAAACUGCCAAGCUUGAGGAUGGUAGAGGGGGGUGGAAUUCCGGGUGUGGCGGUGGGAUGCGCAGAUAUCCGGGGGAGCACCAGUGGCGAAGGCGGCCUCCUGGACCACUACUGACACUCAGACGCGAAAG